Molecule: ribosomal RNA, 305 nt
Filed under: uncultured bacterium
Lineage: Bacteria
Description: bacterial SSU rRNA
Rfam family: Bacterial small subunit ribosomal RNA
Source: RNAcentral
UAUUUCCUACGGGGCGCAGCAGUGGGGAAUAUUGGGCAAUGGGCGAAAGCCUGAUGCAGCAACGCCGCGUGAGCGAUGAAGGCCUUCGGGUCGUAAAGCUCUGUCCUCAAGGAAGAUAAUGACGGUACUUGAGGAGGAAGCCCCGGCUAACUACGUGCUAGCAGCCGCGGUAAUACGUAGGGGGCUAGCGUUAUCCGGAAUUACUGGGCGUAAAGGGUGCGUAGGUGGUUUCUUAAGUCAGAGGUGAAAGGCUACGGCUCAACCGUAGUAAGCCUUUGAAACUGGGAAACGUGAGUGCAGGAGAG